UACGUAUGGAGCGAGCGUUAUCCGGAUUUAUUGGGCGUAAAGCGCGCGUAGGCGGCUUGCCAAGCGGGAUCUCAAAACUGAGGGCUCAACCCCCAGCCGGAUCCCGAACUGGCAGGCUCGAGUUCGGUAGAGGAAGAUGGAAUUCCCAGUGUAGCGGUGAAAUGCGCAGAUAUUGGGAAGAACACCGAUGGCGAAGGCAGUCUUCUGGGCCGUAACUGACGCUGAGGUGCGAAAGCUAGGGGAGCGAACAGGAUUAGAUACCCUGGUAGUCCUAGCCGUAAACGAUGGGCACUAGGUGUGGGGGAGCAUUUCCUCCGUGCCGCAGCUAACGCAUUAAGUGCCCCGCCUGGGGAGUACGGCCGCAAGGCUAAA
This 372-nucleotide ribosomal RNA is filed under the name uncultured bacterium. RNAcentral's name for it is "bacterial SSU rRNA". It matches the Rfam family "Bacterial small subunit ribosomal RNA", at positions 524 to 898 of the family's 1533-position model. The record is from RNAcentral.